GACCUUAUUAUCAGCUCUAACUCAACUUACACAUGCAAGUCUCCGCAACCCAGUGAAUAUGCCCUCAAUCCCCCCACCCGGGGACGAGGAGCGGGCAUCAGGCACAAACAUUAGCCCAAGACGCCUAGCCAAGCCACACCCCCAAGGGAAUUCAGCAGUGAUAAACAUUAAGCCAUAAGUGAAAACUUGACUCAGUUAGUGUUAAGAGGGCCGGUAAAACUCGUGCCAGCCACCGCGGUUAGACGAGAGGCCCUAGUUGAUAUUACAACGGCGUAAAGGGUGGUUAAGGAUAAACAAAAAUAAAGUCAAAUGGCCCCUUGGCCGUCAUACGCUUCUAGGAGUCCGAAGCCCUAAUACGAAAGUAACUUUAAUAAACCCACCUGACCCCACGAAAGCUGAGAAACAAACUGGGAUUAGAUACCCCACUAUGCUCAGCCGUAAACUCAGACAUCCAGCUACAAUUAGAUGUCCGCCAGGGUACUACGAGCAUUAGCUUAAAACCCAAAGGACCUGACGGUGUCUCAGACCCCCCUAGAGGAGCCUGUUCUAGAACCGAUAACCCCCGUUCAACCUCACCACUUCUAGCCACCCCAGCCUAUAUACCGCCGUCGUCAGCUUACCCUGUGAAGGUAAUAAAAGUAAGCAAAAUGGGCACAACCCAAAACGUCAGGUCGAGGUGUAGCGCAUGAAGUGGGAAGAAAUGGGCUACAUUUUCUAAUAUAGAAUAUUACGAACAUGCACCAUGAAACAAUGCUUGAAGGAGGAUUUAGUAGUAAAAGGGAAAUAGAGUGUCCCUUUGAACCCGGCUCUGAGACGCGUACACACCGCCCGUCACUCUCCCCUGUCAAAACGCACCAAAAAUACAUAAUACAACAGCACUGACAAGGGGAGGCAAGUCGUAACACGGUAAGUGUACCGGAAGGUGCACUUGGAUCAAAC
This 939-nucleotide non-coding RNA is filed under the name Cyprinus carpio (common carp). RNAcentral describes it as "partial small subunit ribosomal RNA". It matches the Rfam family "Bacterial small subunit ribosomal RNA". Lineage: Eukaryota; Metazoa; Chordata; Actinopteri; Cypriniformes; Cyprinidae. The record is from RNAcentral.